This 1396-nucleotide ribosomal RNA is filed under the name uncultured bacterium. RNAcentral's name for it is "16S ribosomal RNA". It matches the Rfam family "Bacterial small subunit ribosomal RNA". The record is from RNAcentral.
UUCGCCCUUAGAGUUUGAUCCUGGCUCAGGAUGAACGCUGGCGGCGUGCUUAACACAUGCAAGUCGAGCGAAGCACUUAAGUCUGAUUCUUCGGAUGAAGACUUUUGUGACUGAGCGGCGGACGGGUGAGUAACGCGUGGGUAACCUGCCUCAUACAGGGGGAUAACAGUUAGAAAUGACUGCUAAUACCGCAUAAGCCCACGGGUCGGCAUCGACCAGAGGGAAAAGGAGCAAUCCGCUUUGAGAUGGCCUCGCGUCCGAUUAGCUAGUUGGUGAGGUAACGGCCCACCAAGGCGACGAUCGGUAGCCGGACUGAGAGGUUGAACGGCCACAUUGGGACUGAGACACGGCCCAGACUCCUACGGGAGGCAGCAGUGGGGAAUAUUGCACAAUGGGGGAAACCCUGAUGCAGCGACGCCGCGUGGAGGAAGAAGGUCUUCGGAUUGUAAACUCCUGUUGUUGGGGAAGAUAAUGACGGUACCCAACAAGGAAGUGACGGCUAACUACGUGCCAGCAGCCGCGGUAAAACGUAGGUCACAAGCGUUGUCCGGAAUUACUGGGUGUAAAGGGAGCGCAGGCGGGAAGACAAGUUGGAAGUGAAAUCUAUGGGCUCAACCCAUAAACUGCUUUCAAAACUGUUUUUCUUGAGUAGUGCAGAGGUAGGCGGAAUUCCCGGUGUAGCGGUGGAAUGCGUAGAUAUCGGGAGGAACACCAGUGGCGAAGGCGGCCUACUGGGCACCAACUGACGCUGAGGCUCGAAAGUGUGGGUAGCAAACAGAAAGAGAUACCCUGGUAGUCCACACCGUAAACGAUGACUAUAAGGUGUUGGAGGAUUGACCCCCUCAGUACCGACAGUUAAUCGCAAUAAGUAAUCCGCCUGGGGAGUCCGGCCGCAAGGUUGAAAGUCAAAGGAAUUGACGGGGGCCCGCACAAGCAGUGGAGUAUGUGGUUUAAUUCGACGCAACGCGAAGAACCUUAUCAAGUCUUGACUUCCCUUGACAGACAUAGAAAUAUUUUUUCUAUUAGGAGCAAGGAGACAGGUAGUGCAUGGUUGUCGUCAGCUCGUGUCGUGAGAUGUUGGGUUAAGUCCCGCAACGAGCGCAACCCUUAUGGUCAGUUACUACGCAAGAGGACUUUGGCCAGACUGCCGUUGACAAAACGGAGGAAGGUGGGGAUGACGUCAAAUCAUCAUGCCCUUUAUGACUUGGGCUACACACGUACUACAAUGGCGUUAAACAAAGAGAAGCAAGACCGCGAGGUGGAGCAAAACUCAGAAACAACGUCCCAGUUCGGACUGCAGGCUGCAACUCGCCUGCACGAAGUCGGAAUUGCUAGUAAUCGUGGAUCAGCAUGCCACGGUGAAUACGUUCCCGGGCCUUGCACUCACCGCCCGUCA